Molecule: ribosomal RNA, 1466 nt
Filed under: metagenome
Description: bacterial SSU rRNA
Rfam family: Bacterial small subunit ribosomal RNA
Source: RNAcentral
AGAGUUUGAUCCUGGCUCAGGACGAACGCUGGCGGCGCGCCUAACACAUGCAAGUCGAACGAGAGAGAGGGAGCUUGCUUCCUCAAUCGAGUGGCGAACGGGUGAGUAACGCGUGAGGAACCUGCCUCAAAGAGGGGGACAACAGUUGGAAACGACUGCUAAUACCGCAUAAGCCCACGGCUCGGCAUCGAGCAGAGGGAAAAGGAGCAAUCCGCUUUGAGAUGGCCUCGCGUCCGAUUAGCUAGUUGGUGAGGUAAUGGCCCACCAAGGCGACGAUCGGUAGCCGGACUGAGAGGUUGAACGGCCACAUUGGGACUGAGACACGGCCCAGACCCCUACGGGAGGCAGCAGUGGGGAAUAUUGCACAAUGGGGGAAACCCUGAUGCAGCGACGCCGCGUGGAGGAAGAAGGUCUUCGGAUUGUAAACUCCUGUUGUUGAGGAAGAUAAUGACGGUACUCAACAAGGAAGUGACGGCUAACUACGUGCCAGCAGCCGCGGUAAAACGUAGGUCACAAGCGUUGUCCGGAAUUACUGGGUGUAAAGGGAGCGCAGGCGGGCGAUCAAGUUGGAAGUGAAAUCCAUGGGCUCAACCCAUGAACUGCUUUCAAAACUGAUUGUCUUGAGUAGUGCAGAGGUAGGCGGAAUUCCCGGUGUGGCGGUGGAAUGCGUAGAUAUCGGGAGGAACACCAGUGGCGAAGGCGGCCUACUGGGCACCAACUGACGCUGAGGCUCGAAAGUGUGGGUAGCAAACAGGAUUAGAUACCCUGGUAGUCCACACCGUAAACGAUGAUUACUAGGUGUUGGAGGAUUGACCCUUUCAGUGCCGCAGUUAACACAAUAAGUAAUCCACCUGGGGAGUACAACCGCAAGGUUGAAACUCAAAGGAAUUGACGGGGGCCCGCACAAGCAGUGGAGUAUGUGGUUUAAUUCGAUGAUACGCGAGGAACCUUACCCGGGCUUGAAUUGCAGAGGAAGGAUUUGGAGACAAUGACGCCCUUCGGGGUCUCUGUGAAGGUGCUGCAUGGUUGUCGUCAGCUCGUGCCGUGAGGUGUCGGCUUAAGUGCCAUAACGAGCGCAACCCCUCUCCUUAGUUGCCAUCAGGUUAAGCUGGGCACUCUGGGGACACUGCCACCGUAAGGUGUGAGGAAGGUGGGGAUGACGUCAAAUCAGCACGGCCCUUACGUCCGGGGCUACACACGUGUUACAAUGGCAGGUACAGGGAGACGGUUGUACGUAAGUACGAUCAAAUCCUCAAAGCCUGUCUCAGUUCGGACUGGGGUCUGCAACCCGACCCCACGAAGCUGGAUUCGCUAGUAAUCGCGCAUCAGCCAUGGCGCGGUGAAUACGUUCCCGGGCCUUGUACACACCGCCCGUCAAGCCAUGAAAGCCGGGGGCGCCUAAAGUCCGUGACCGUAAGGAGCGGCCUAGGGCGAAACUGGUAAUUGGGGCUAAGUCGUAACAAGGU